UGAGGAUGGCGGACGGGUGAGUAACGCGUAAGGAACUUGCCUCUUGGUCUGGGACAACUGUUGGAAACGACAGCUAAUACCGGAUAUUAUGAGAUUCUCGCAUGGGAAACUUAUGAAAGCUAUAUGCGCCAAGAGAGAGCCUUGCGUUCCAUUAGCUAGUUGGUGGGGUAACGGCCCACCAAGGCGACGAUGGAUAGCCGGCCUGAGAGGGUGAACGGCCACAAGGGGACUGAGACACGGCCCUUACUCCUACGGGAGGCAGCAGUGGGGAAUAUUGGACAAUGGGCCACAAGCCUGAUCCAGCAAUUCUGUGUGCACGAUGAAGGUCUUCGGAUUGUAAAGUGCUUUCAGUUGGGAAGAAGAAAGUGACGGUACCAACAGAAGAAGCGACGGCUAAAUACGUGCCAGCAGCCGCGGUAAUACGUAUGUCGCAAGCGUUAUCCGGAUUUAUUGGGCGUAAAGCGCGUCUAGGCGGAAAAAUAAGUCUGAUGAAAAAUGCGGGGCU
RNAcentral lists this ribosomal RNA (505 nucleotides) under uncultured bacterium. RNAcentral describes it as "bacterial SSU rRNA". It matches the Rfam family "Bacterial small subunit ribosomal RNA", at positions 90 to 609 of the family's 1533-position model. The record is from RNAcentral.